GUCUACGGCAUUACCACCCUGAACGCACCCAUCUUGACUGAUCUCAGAAGCUAGGCAGGGUAGGGUCUAGUUAGUUCUUGGAUGGGGAAGUGCACAUGUGGGCUGUUAAAA
This 111-nucleotide ribosomal RNA is filed under the name Jaculus jaculus (lesser Egyptian jerboa). Lineage: Eukaryota; Metazoa; Chordata; Mammalia; Rodentia; Dipodidae. The record is from RNAcentral.